AUUGCACAAUGGGCGAAAGCCUGAGCAGCGACGCCGCGUGAGGGAUGACGGCCUUCGGGUUGUAAACCUCUUUCAGCAGGGACGAAGCGAAAGUGACGGUACCUGCAGAAGAAGCACCGGCCAACUACGUGCCAGCAGCCGCGGUAAUGUAGGGGGGUGCAAGCGUUGUCCGGAAUUACUGGGCGUAAAGAGCUCGUAGGCGGUUUGUCGC
Molecule: ribosomal RNA, 211 nt
Filed under: uncultured actinomycete
Lineage: Bacteria; Bacillati; Actinomycetota; Actinomycetes; Actinomycetales
Description: partial 16S ribosomal RNA
Rfam family: Bacterial small subunit ribosomal RNA
Source: RNAcentral